This 507-nucleotide ribosomal RNA is filed under the name uncultured bacterium. RNAcentral describes it as "bacterial SSU rRNA". It matches the Rfam family "Bacterial small subunit ribosomal RNA", at positions 29 to 524 of the family's 1533-position model. The record is from RNAcentral.
AACGAACGCUGGCGGCGCGCCUAAUACAUGCAAGUCGAGCGAGAAGGUGUAGCAAUACACUUGUAAAGCGGCGAACGGGUGAGGAAUGCAUGGGUAACCUACCCUCGAGUGGGGAAUAACUAGCCGAAAGGUAGCUAAUACCGCAUACGUUUCCGGAACUUCGGUUUCGGAAAGAAAGCAAUACCGUGGGUAUUGCGCUCCUGGAUGGGCUCAUGUCCUAUCAGCUUGUUGGUGAGGUAACGGCUCACCAAGGCUUCGACGGGUAGCUGGUCUGAGAGGACGAUCAGCCACACUGGCACUGCGACACGGGCCAGACUCCUACGGGAGGCAGCAGUAAGGAAUAUUGGGCAAUGGACGCAAGUCUGACCCAGCCAUGCCGCGUGCAGGAAGACGGCCCUCUGGGUUGUAAACUGCUUUUAUCAGGGAGAAACCCUUCUACGUGUAGAAGGCUGACGGUACCUGAGGAAUAAGGAUCGGGCUAACUCCGACGCCAGCAGCCGCGGUAAU